UGGGCAAAGAAGACCUACUAGGUUUCC
Molecule: non-coding RNA, 27 nt
Filed under: Mus musculus (house mouse)
Lineage: Eukaryota; Metazoa; Chordata; Mammalia; Rodentia; Muridae
Source: RNAcentral